AUGCACAGCCAUGUCACCCUGCAGCCCAAGACCGGUUACUCACUGAAGCUAAGCAGGGCUGAGCCUGGUCAGUACCAGGAUGGGAGACCACUAGGGAACACUAGGUUGCUGUUGGAA
This 117-nucleotide ribosomal RNA is filed under the name Danio rerio (zebrafish). The record is from RNAcentral. Lineage: Eukaryota; Metazoa; Chordata; Actinopteri; Cypriniformes; Danionidae.